This 297-nucleotide long non-coding RNA is filed under the name Calidris pygmaea (Spoon-billed sandpiper). RNAcentral describes it as "lncRNA (ENSCPGG00000013823.1)". Lineage: Eukaryota; Metazoa; Chordata; Aves; Charadriiformes; Scolopacidae. The record is from RNAcentral.
CAUUCCUCUGCUGACAGUGAAGAGGUCAUGCUAAAUCAAAUUGAUGCAGAAACUGGACAGUAUCUUUACCCAGGAUGUCCAAAUUAAUUCUACCAAAACAAGAGAGUUUUGGUUGUAAACUAUUCCACAGCUGCUACUGGAAAGAAGCAGGUGACCUUUGGAGGUAGUAAAACUGUCUUAAUUACAUGUUUGCUGUUUGAUACUGUGUGUUGCUCCUCAUCUCUGUGCCAGCAUGCACUCAUCAGAUGUGGUGAUGUGUACAAACAAGUCAGCAAGUAUCAAACCACUUUGCUUACA